CCUACGGGGGGCAGCAGUGGGGAAUAUUGCGCAAUGGGCGAAAGCCUGACGCAGCGACGCCGCGUGAGGGAUGAAGGUCUUCGGAUCGUAAACCUCUGUCAGCAGGGAAGAACGGUCACUGUGCUAAUCAGCAGUGAAUUGACGGUACCUGCAAAGGAAGCACCGGCUAACUCCGUGCCAGCAGCCGCGGUAAUACGGCGGGUGCGAGCGUUAAUCGGAAUUACUGGGCGUAAAGCGCUCGUAGGCGGUAUGUCAAGUCAAGGGGGAAAUCCCCGCGCUCAACGUGGGAACUGCCUUUGAAACUGGCAAACUGGAGUGUGUGAGAGGAUAGUGGAAUUCGAGGUGUAGGAGUGAAAUCCGUAGAUAUCUGGAGGAACAUCAGUGGCGAAGGCGACUAUCUGGCACAUAACUGACGCUGAGGAGCGAAAGCGUGGGUAGCAAACAGGAUUAGAUACCCUGGUAGUC
RNAcentral lists this ribosomal RNA (465 nucleotides) under uncultured bacterium. RNAcentral's name for it is "partial 16S ribosomal RNA". It matches the Rfam family "Bacterial small subunit ribosomal RNA", at positions 338 to 795 of the family's 1533-position model. The record is from RNAcentral.